This 252-nucleotide ribosomal RNA is filed under the name uncultured bacterium. RNAcentral describes it as "partial 16S ribosomal RNA". It matches the Rfam family "Bacterial small subunit ribosomal RNA", at positions 524 to 775 of the family's 1533-position model. The record is from RNAcentral.
UACGUAGGUGACAAGCGUUGUCCGGAUUUACUGGGCGUAAAGAGCGCGCAGGCGGUCGUCAAGUCGAGUGUGAAAGCCCCCGGCUCAACUGGGGAGGGUCACGCGAUACUGAUCGACUCGAAGGCAGGAGAGGGUAGUGGAAUUCCCGGUGUAGUGGUGAAAUGCGUAGAUAUCGGGAGGAACACCAGUGGCGAAGGGCGACUACCUGGCCUGUUCUUGACGCUGAGGCGCGAAAGCUAGGGGAGCAAACGG